Cicer arietinum (chickpea) is the source of this 199-nucleotide long non-coding RNA. RefSeq lists it as uncharacterized. Lineage: Eukaryota; Viridiplantae; Streptophyta; Magnoliopsida; Fabales; Fabaceae. The record is from RefSeq and is a predicted model, not a curated record.
AGUGCAGGAUGAUGCUUCCAUUUCAUGCAGGAAAAGAAAGAAGCAUUUUUUUGUUCUGAGUCAUUCUGGCAAACCAAUAUACUCUAGGUAUGGAGAUGAACAUAAGCUUGCUGGUUUUUCAGCAACUUUGCAAGCAAUCAUUUCGUUUGUUGAAAAUGGGGGUGACCGUGUCAAAUUGGUGAGGGAUGGAAAGCAUCAG